Non-coding RNA from Acanthosepion pharaonis, 112 nucleotides. The record is from the annotation of a GenBank genome assembly. Lineage: Eukaryota; Metazoa; Mollusca; Cephalopoda; Sepiida; Sepiidae.
UAUGGCCACAUCACGUUGAAACACCAGGUCCCGUACAAUCACCGAAGUUAAGCAAUGUUGAGUCUAGUCAGUAUCUAGAUGGGUAACCGCUUGAGAAUGCCAAGUGUUGUAA